GAUGAACGCUGGCGGCGUGCUUAACACAUGCAAGUCGAACGAUGAAGCCCAGCUUGCUGGGUGGAUUAGUGGCGAACGGGUGAGUAACACGUGAGUAACCUGCCCUUGACUCUGGGAUAAGCCUGGGAAACUGGGGCUAAUACUGGAUAUGAGUUCUCGUCGCAUGGUGGGGGGUGGGAAGAUUUAUUGGUCUUGGAUGGGCUCGCGGCCUAUCAGCUUGUUGGUGGGGUAUUGGCUCACCAAGGCGACGACGGGUAGCCGGCCUGAGAGGGUGACCGGCCACACUGGGACUGAGACACGGCCCAGACUCCUACGGGAGGCAGCAGCGGGGAAUAUUGCACAAUGGGCGCAAGCCUGAUGCAGCGACGCCGCGUGAGGGAUGACGGCCUUCGGGUUGUAAACCUCUUUCAGUAGGGAAGAAGCGAGAGUGACGGUACCUGCAGAAGAAGCGCCGGCUAACUACGUG
This 466-nucleotide ribosomal RNA is filed under the name uncultured bacterium. RNAcentral describes it as "partial 16S ribosomal RNA". It matches the Rfam family "Bacterial small subunit ribosomal RNA", at positions 28 to 507 of the family's 1533-position model. The record is from RNAcentral.